ACUUGGCCAAAUAAACUUACCUUAACAUUAAUCCAUUGGAAACCCCUUUGAGCCUUAAGACUAUUUUUCUUGUUUCCAGUAAUUGCCAAAUAAAAAAAUGAAGGAAAAUCAUAUGUUCUUUACCUGAGGAAAGAAGAAGGAGUAAUGGAUUGUGUUAUAAGUAAGUGAUGAAUAAGUGCGUGGGUGAGUGUCUCACCACAAAAUAUAUAAAAAAAAAGGGGGAAGGAAAAAGGAAGAUGAAAAGCUGAAGAUUUGAAAAAAAAAAGUGAUGAAAAAAAAAGAAAAAAAAGAAUCUUCCUAAAAAGAGCAAGAAAUAAGGUUGUUUUUGAAAUAAAGUGUCAUUACUCUUUCUAUAUCAACUUCAAAAACCCAGAAAUUCCAAAGAAAAUUUCCUACCUUUGCCUUGGCCCCAAUAUAACCUUUAAAAAGCCCUCAUGAUC
This 440-nucleotide long non-coding RNA is filed under the name Vigna radiata. RNAcentral's name for it is "long non-coding RNA (VRAD_LNC016617)". The record is from RNAcentral. Lineage: Eukaryota; Viridiplantae; Streptophyta; Magnoliopsida; Fabales; Fabaceae.